AUUGAACGCUGGCGGCAGGCCUAACACAUGCAAGUCGAGCGGAUGAAGGGAGCUGGCUCCUGUAUUCAGCGGCGGACGGGUGAGUAACGCCUAGGAAGCUGCCUGGUAGUGGGGGAUAACGUCCGGAAACGGGCGCUAAUACCUCAUACGUCCUGAGGGAGAAAGUUGGGGAUCUUCGGACCUCACGCUAUCAGAUGAGCCUAGGUCGGAUUAGCUAGUUGGUGGGGUAAAGGCCUACCAAGGCGACGAUCCGUAACUGGUCUGAGAGGAUGAUCAGUCACACUGGAACUGAGACACGGUCCAGACUCCUACGGGAGGCAGCAGUGGGGAAUAUUGGACAAUGGGCGAAAGCCUGAUGCAGCCAUGCCGCGUGUGUGAAGAAGGUCUUCGGAUUGUAAAGCACUGUAAGUUGGGAGGAAGGGCAGUAAGUUAAUCCCUUGCUGUUUUGACGUUACCAACAGAAUAAGCCACGGCUAACUUCGUG
This 484-nucleotide ribosomal RNA is filed under the name uncultured bacterium. Its description in RNAcentral is "partial 16S ribosomal RNA". It matches the Rfam family "Bacterial small subunit ribosomal RNA", at positions 30 to 507 of the family's 1533-position model. The record is from RNAcentral.